Molecule: non-coding RNA, 2411 nt
Organism: Gasterosteus aculeatus aculeatus (three-spined stickleback)
Lineage: Eukaryota; Metazoa; Chordata; Actinopteri; Perciformes; Gasterosteidae
Source: RefSeq, a predicted model, not a curated record
CCAUUGGGAGUGGUGUGACUGCAGCUGUUUGGAGCCGCGGAUAUCCCUCACCUCGUUUGAGAAAAUGUGUGAUUUUUCUCUGCAGUUUUGUUUGCGAGCAGAAGACAGGAUUGACACACACGCAGGUCAUGCAUCAGUGCUACUCGAAGGUCUCUGGGCAAAAACAAACUAGUAGUAAGCGUCCGUCGGAUGUAAAGCUUUGGCACCACGAGAUUAUAAACAUCGACGCACAAACAUCUUGAUUAUCAUUUGACCCAGAAGACAAUGUGUGAAACAAUAGUGAAACAAUAAUAUCACUGUUGUUUCAUAAUCUGGUUUCAUAAUUCUAUUCAAAUAAGGCCCUUGAGGCCUCGAUACAAUCGGUCAGGGCAUCAAGAGCAAUUCUCAUCAGCAUUCGGCUGCUGUAGUCCUCCGACACCAAGUAUUAGAAGGCGCCCACCAACAUCGAGGGGCGAUGCUGCCAUGGAGAUCAAGAUAAACGAGGUCAAUGCCAAAUUCUUUCACUUGCCAAACCGUGAUUGCAGCAUUCCACUGAAAGGACGUGUGUGCAUGUUAUAUGUGCAAUUUUGUCAAGUCAUAAACUAAAGUUAACUCACCCACUGGGUCGUUAUGUGCGUGUGUGUGUGUUGUUAUGUGUGUGUGUGUGUGUGUGUGUGUGUGUGUGUGUGGGGAUGUCCGCCCCCUCAGCCCACAGCAAAUGUGAGCCCUCCGUCCUCUCUGCUCCAACCUCCACGUUGCCAUAGUGAUCGCACACAACGUCCGCAGCUGCUGUUCCUGUUUUUCCAAAGUCUCUGAGCAUCGAUUGUCCCCCCCUUUCCUCGUCCCCGGUUCGGCCCCCUCGCGCUGCUUCCUUCCGUCGGCUUUGCUCGUCAUGCAUGCCGUGAGUUCUCCUGGUCCACCUGUGACCUCCGGGAUUCACAAUGUCACAGUGUGAGACACAAAUGCAAAACCCAAUCACAGUAUGUGUGUGUUUCUGCUUACAGUCAGACUGAGGGGGGGAGGGCGAGGGGGUCAAUGUGUGAAUUACAUUUGCUUUCUGCUCCCCCUCCCUCGUACGGUGUCGUCAAUCACGUGGAAGCUCCGAUGUUAAAGCUGCUCUCCACACCGAGAAGCUUAGUCAGAGAAGGAGCGCUGAGUGGCGGACUGGGACCUUUUCUGUCCGGACUUACGGCUUGUGUUUGGUGAUUUUGGUUUUGUUAUUUUUCUAUAUGCUAAGUUUGUAAUAACUACUUCAUCACAAACAAGCUUAAGAUGCUUCCACUAAUCGCCACCAGAGACUCGGCAGCGAGGAUGGGACGGGCGCGCGAUCUGGGCUUGUUCGGACGGACAGAAGGUCGUGUGCUACCGUUGAUUUCUCCCGGCGGGUAAAAAGCUGCCGUCCCGACAAACUCGCGAGGAAUUCAUUGGACGCGGAUCUGAACUGCCCCUUCGUCCCCCCUCCUCCCCCCCGGCUCCUCUGACUGAGCCAGCAGUCUCCUCAGCAGGAUGCUGCACAGGCAAACCUUCCUCGACUUGACAACAGCCCACGAGGAGCGCAGCCAGAUUCAACCUCCGACGGGCCGGACGACCUUUUCACCUCCUGUGACCCGCUCGCAGGCUCAGCGAAGGCUGUGAGAAAAGUUGCCUUUUUGUUGAUCCUGCAAACCUCUUUUCCGGUGGUAGAGUUCUUGGCACGCCUGACGACAACUUUCGACACUCCCAGCGGCCUCAGAGGACCCGAGCAGAUGGGGACGCAGGCUUCUCCUUUGAUGGGCGUGGCUACACACGGACCAGACGUCCAAUGGGUUACCAGGAAAGCCCAGGUGUGUUCCACGGAGCGCUCAGCGAAAACCUUCAAAAUGUACCACUCCCCCCAUUUAAGCUAUGUGGGUGUUUCCCAUAUCUUACAUGCCCAGAAGACUGAGUGGAUGUGAAGGAGGAACAAAUGUAUUUAAUAUUUUUUCACAUUCCAUUCUGUGAUUUAGCCUUAAUUAGCCACCAAUAGUAUAAAUAAGAAAGUGUGAGACAUUUACCGCACCUUUUUAAAUCUGGCUGUGAUGUUUUAAGUGCUUGUUUAAAUGAAACUAGGACUUCAAUCUAGAAGUUUAGAAGACUACAUUUUGGAUAUCUGAUGAUGUAACUCCAGGCAGGCCUUUCUACUCCAUAAUGAGAACAUUUUGCUGGUUACACUUUUUUAUUUUCAAGCAAGAUUUUGAAUGCAGGACUUUUACUCCGGAGUAGUUUUACAUUAUGGUAUUGCUACUCGCACUUAAUUCUCCCAACACUAAGACCCAGGACCAGAUAAUCAGAGAAAAUCAGUGUAUCCAUUCAUUACGUCAAACUUCAGUCUGUUUUAAGAGUUGUUUGUUCACCUGAGACGCAGAGCCUCGCUUCAUCACCACAAAGAGGAGAAACUCAUUCCUGCUUUGUGA